Long non-coding RNA from Canis lupus familiaris (dog), 1325 nucleotides. RefSeq lists it as uncharacterized. The transcript has 3 exons. NCBI's taxonomy places the organism in Eukaryota, Metazoa, Chordata, Mammalia, Carnivora, Canidae. The record is from RefSeq and is a predicted model, not a curated record.
UGGGUGAAAUCAUAUGGUAUUUAUCUUUCUCGGACUGACUUAUUUCACUCAGCUUUCUACUCCCAAGAUCCAUCCAUGUUGUUGCAAAUGGCAAGACUUCCUCAUAUGUAUGACCAGGGGAUAGUCCACUGCAUGUAGAUACCACAUCUUGGUCCCUUCAUCUGCGAUGGACGCUUGGACCGCUGCCUGUCUCAGCUACUGUGAAUAACGCUGCAGUAAACACGGGGGUGCAUGUAUCCUUUCAAAUUAGCACUUUCGUAUUUUUUGAGUAAAUCCAGUAGGGUGAUCACUGGAUCAUGGGGUAGUCCUAUUUUUAAUUUUUUGAGGAGCCUCUAGUGGACGUACUUUAAGAUUAUGCAAAUAUCCUGUUGAUCCUCAAACUUCCACCCACUAAUUCUAGCCUGGAUUGCCGAAUCUUGCCUACAACAGUUAUUACUGCGAUGUUCUUAAUGGUAAUUUUCUAUUUUCCUCCUGUCUUUCACAUGUGUUGAUGUAAUUCUUUUGUAAGGUAGAACCGUCCCUUCUCUUCCAUUUAUUUACUCAUUAUUUAUUUACAUCAGCAUGGAUUCAUAGUUUUUUUUCUGCCCCCUAAGGGUUAUAGUCCAAUUUCAUUGUUAAAACUGCUCUCAGAAUUUUUUUAAGUUUAUUUUUUUAUUUCAGAGAGACAACAAAAGUGGGGACAGAGGGAGAGGGAGAUGCAGACUCCCCGCUGAGCAGGGAGCCCAAUGGGGGGCUGGAUCCCAGGGCCCUGGGGUCAUGACCUGAGCCGAAGGCAGACGCUCAUCCGCUGAGCCCCCAGUUGCCCCAAGAGGUUUUUGUUUCUACCUCGUGUUCCAACUUUGGGUGUUCAGUUUGCAGUACAGACUUCCAGGAGCUCUUUCUUGUUUUCUAAAUAUUAUUUUUAUGGUGAUCUAGCCUUAUGGGUGUGACGUCUUCUCUUAUUUCUAAAGCUAUUUAUUGUUUGGGGGAAGUGUUCUUUUGUUUCUUGCACUGAUCUCUUUCUGAGUUACUUUUUUGUUUGUCUGUCUGUCUUUGUCUCUCUUUCCUGUGGGAGGCUCUUUCUCAGAUGUCCUGGCAUUCUCCACUGUCUGUCUACAUGUGAGUGAUGCACCUGCACAGGAUAGUCACUCCGCGCCCAGCGUUCUCCGUGGUCCCUGGGAAGGGAAAAGUGGAUCUUUACGGUGGGGAGAUCUACACUGCCUUUGCCAGACCUCACUUCACCGCUGAUCUAACUUCCAGUCGACAAGCUUUACGAGAUACAGGGACAAGAUUUUAUUUAUUUAUUCAUGAGAGACACACAGAGAGAGGCUGAGACACAAGCAGAG